This 253-nucleotide ribosomal RNA is filed under the name uncultured bacterium. RNAcentral describes it as "partial 16S ribosomal RNA". It matches the Rfam family "Bacterial small subunit ribosomal RNA", at positions 524 to 776 of the family's 1533-position model. The record is from RNAcentral.
UACGAAGGGGGCUAGCGUUGCUCGGAAUCACUGGGCGUAAAGGGUGCGUAGGCGGGUCUUUAAGUCAGGGGUGAAAUCCUGGAGCUCAACUCCAGAACUGCCUUUGAUACUGAAGAUCUUGAGUUCGGGAGAGGUGAGUGGAACUGCGAGUGUAGAGGUGAAAUUCGUAGAUAUUCGCAAGAACACCAGUGGCGAAGGCGGCACUCUGGGACGGUACUGACGCUGAGACGCGAAAGCGUGGGGAGCAAACAGG